UCUCACAGAGAGUGUUAUUAAACCAAGA
This 28-nucleotide non-coding RNA is filed under the name Rattus norvegicus (Norway rat). Lineage: Eukaryota; Metazoa; Chordata; Mammalia; Rodentia; Muridae. The record is from RNAcentral.